GUGAAGCUUGGGAGUCCCUCUUAACCGGAGAAGGCCCAUACCAAACUAUCUUUACACCCUAGUGCAUUUGUCCCUUUUUUACCUUUAACCCUUUUGCAUUCGAAAAGGUUGUUGUGACAAUCAUUUGAUAAACGAAAGAA
RNAcentral lists this unclassified non-coding RNA (140 nucleotides) under uncultured fungus. RNAcentral describes it as "sequence contains ITS1, 5.8S rRNA gene". The record is from RNAcentral. Lineage: Eukaryota; Fungi.